GAAACCCCCCGACGUGUGCCAUC
This 23-nucleotide non-coding RNA is filed under the name Arabidopsis thaliana (thale cress). The record is from RNAcentral. Lineage: Eukaryota; Viridiplantae; Streptophyta; Magnoliopsida; Brassicales; Brassicaceae.